ACUCCUACGGGAGGCAGCAGUAGGGAAUAUUGGGCAAUGGGCGGAAGCCUGACCCAGCCAUGCCGCGUGAAGGAAGACGGCCUUCUGGGUUGUAAACUUCUUUUAUACAGGAAGAAAAAGGCCAUGCGUGGCCAAUUGACGGUACUGUAUGAAUAAGCACCGGCUAACUCCGUGCCAGCAGCCGCGGUAAUACGGAGGGUGCAAGCGUUGUCCGGAUUUAUUGGGUUUAAAGGGUGCGUAGGCGGUACGUUAAGUCAGUGGUGAAAUCCCGCAGCUCAACUGCGGAACUGCCAUUGAUACUGGCGUACUUGAGUACAGACGAGGUAGGCGGAAUUUAUGGUGUAGCGGUGAAAUGCAUAGAUACCAUAAAGAACACCGAUAGCGAAGGCAGCUUACUAGACUGUGACUGACGCUCAGGCACGAAAGCGUGGGGAGCGAACAGGAUUAGAUACCCUGGUAGGAUAGCG
Molecule: ribosomal RNA, 467 nt
Filed under: uncultured bacterium
Lineage: Bacteria
Description: bacterial SSU rRNA
Rfam family: Bacterial small subunit ribosomal RNA
Source: RNAcentral